Molecule: long non-coding RNA, 3663 nt
Filed under: Salmo salar (Atlantic salmon)
Lineage: Eukaryota; Metazoa; Chordata; Actinopteri; Salmoniformes; Salmonidae
Description: lncRNA (ENSSSAG00000097686.1, ENSSSAG00020076612.1)
Source: RNAcentral
UGAGGACAAAGAGAUUGGAUAUGCGCGUUCCCGCGAGCACGCUGUUUUUUCUUUUCCUCCUUGAAUGAAUACACUAUUGUCCGGGUUGGAAUAUUAUCGCAAUUCUACAUUAAAAAUACCAUAACAAUUUAUUUUAAACAGCGUUUGACAUGCUUCUAAGUACGGUAAUGGAACAUUUUGACUUUUUGUGUCUCGAAUUGCGCUCGCGCAUUACCUUUUGGAUAGUGACACAGAUUAAGGUCAUUCUGUGCCUUCCAUGUAUUUUGCCAUACUAGUAGAUUAAUAUAAAGAGCAAUCUAAACGAGAACUUAUUGCUGUGUGCAUCCGAUACAUUCAUACUGGAAUGAUUAAAGAAAGAGCUGUUGGGUUUAUGGAAACCGCUGAUUUGUCUGCACAAGGAAUUUCUCUGAAAAUACUUGAAGUGUUGCAACCCCUGGAGUUGGAUCCCACUCUGUGUGUUUUUUGUUGUUGUUGAUGGCGCUUCAGUCAUGUCAGGGAACAGAGGGGUACGUGUCCUACUAAAGCAAUCAUUUAAGCAAGCAUUAUAUGUGCAUUGCAACUCCCACCGUUUUUGAAUUUGGUUCUGUACACCGCGGCAAAAGUGUCGACAUGUCAGUUCUUUUUUUGACACAGUAAACCAGCGACACACAUUUAUGAGUGGAUCCCACAGACAUGCUCCAUUCAUAGAAGUACAGAAAGAGUUGCAUCCUGAUAGACCAUGUAUCGAGCUAGAAAGACGCACGGCUGUACGUUGGAGUUCAAAAUCAGGGUCUGUGAGUAAAAUGCUGUUACUGCUAGAUGUCAUUUUAGAAGUUCUUGCAGAUUUUUCAGAGGCUUGUGGACAAACCAAAUUAGAAGCCGAUGCCCUCUUACAACAAAUCCAGAACAAUACGUUUUUAUUCCUGUUAGUCACAUUUAGUAAAUUGUUUGACACUGGUGAUCUUGCUAUCAAGAGAUUACAAAGCUUUACAUUAUCUGUGACGGACUAUUUUGGUUUAAUUGAAAUCCUCAAAAGCAGCUUUUCUACGUUCAGAGAUAACUCAGGGAGAGACUUUGAUAAAUUUCUCAAGCUAACUGAAGAGAUGAUGAUUAAGCAUGAUAUUAGUAAUUGGGAUGGGAGCGCAUCACGGCAGUGAAAACUGCCUGUAAAAUUGGCAGACAGCGUAGUCACAACUUCAUUAGGGAAAACAUCCAGCUUCAAGAGUGACAGUGAGCUGAGGCAACUUUGGAACAAUAUUCUAGACAGACAGAUUACCGAGUUAAACUCAAGAUUUCAAGAAGACGCAUAUGGGAUCAUGCAAGCGGCAGCCUCCUUUUCCAAAGAUUCCCAAACCUGCCUUAAAGAGCAGCUGAAGACCACAUGCGAUCAUUAUGCAAUAUCAGUUGAGGAUGCUGAAUUCACUGUUUUUAUUCAGCAGUUGAGUCGCAAAAUAAACUUUCCUCCAUAAUGAGUGUACUUGACUAGCUGCCCUGAUGAUAUUUUCCCUAAUAUAAACUCUCUGUUAAGGAUCAUUGUUACACUUUCAAUGACAAUGCGGUGUGGAGAGACUUUUCUCAAUGACAAGCGCCCGGCUGAACCACUUCAGUUUGCUGUCUUUUGAGCGUGAACUGACAGAUACAUUGGAUUAUGAUGAAAUCAUCACCACAUUCAACUCAAAGCCUCACCGUCUGCGCCUUGUAAUGUAGGUCACACCUUAUGAUACGUCUACUAAAAGGCUACAAGUGAGGACAGACACAUCGGGGACGCGACUACGCACGUCCUUAUCCAAUUCUGAGGUGCAUAUUGAAGACAUUGGAAGAACUGUCCACAUUUACUUUUCGUCAGCCAACAAGAUGAGUAGGCCUAACAAACAGCAAAAGCAUUAGCCUAUGUCAAUCUACUGUUCCCCAUAGUACAAAAGUUGACCUUUUCUAUCCUGUGCGAGAAAUGAAUAUUCCAAACAUAGUCUGGGACAGUUGUGGGAUGCGCUAGAUCCCAAAUUAAUACAACCACUAACAGAAAAAAAACUAUUUUACUCAAUGAAGCUGACAUAACAGAUCAGAAUGUUUAGCUUAAAAUGUUGAUAAACUAUUAUUACAUCCCUCUAGUGGUGUGGGGGCUGUGCUUUGGCAAAGUGGGUGGGGUUAUAUCCUGCCUGUUUGGCCCUGUCCGGGGGCCACAGUGUCUUCUGAUCCCUCCUGUCUCAGCCUCCAGUAUUUAUGCUGCAGUAGUUUAUGUGUCGGGGGGCUAGGGUCAGUCUGUUACAUCUGGAGUAUUUCCCUUGUCUUAUCCGGUGUCCUGUGUGAAUUUAAAUAUGCUCUCUCUAAUUCUCUCUUUCUCUCUUUCUUUCUUUCUCUCGGAGGACCUGAGCCCUAGGACCAUGCCUCAGGACUACCUGGCAUGAUGACUCCUUGCUGUCCCCAGUCCACCAGGCCAUGCUGCUGCUCCAGUUUCAACUGUUCUGCCUGCGGCUAUGGAACCCUGACCUGUUCACCGGACGUGCUUGUUGCACCCUCGACAACUACUAUGAUUAUUAUUAUUUGACCAUGCUGGUCAUUUAUGAACAUUUUAACAUCUUGACCAUGUUCUGUUAUAAUAUCCACCCGGCACAGCCAGAAGAGGACUGGCCACCCCUCAUAGCCUGGUUCCUCUCUAGGUUUCUUCCUCGGUUUUUGGCCUUUCUAGGGAGUUUUUCCUAGCCACCGUGCUUCUUUCACAUGCAUUGCUUGCUGUUUGGGGUUUUAGGCUGGGUUUUUGUACAGCACUUUGAGAUAUCAGCUGAUGUACGAAGGGCUAUAUAAAUACAUUUGAUUUGAUUUGAUUAGGCUAUUUCUUCACAUUAUAAGUGCAGCAAUGUAACAUGGCUGUAGGCUAUAAGCGUGAAUGUAUCAUUAGCAGGAAUACCCCAUUAUCAAAAGUGACCGCAAAUGUGAUUAUGCAUGUAACGCUUUUAUUAUAAAGGUGCAUUUUUAUGGUGAAAAGGAUCUUCCCCAAACUUGAAACUCACACGCUGCUUAUGUAUGCCAGUUAGGCUCUACACCCCUUGUAAAGUGGAUUCAUGUGCUUAAUUUUAAGAAGUUAUUUGGACACUUUAGUUGUGAUACAAGCAUCAAAACAUAUGUGUGACUAUGAUUCGAAAAAGUCACACAAAAAAAGGCAUUGUUUCUUGCUUUAAGCUGGGCAUCAUUCACAAGUAAUAUUAUAUAAUUCACAAGUGAUAGGCUAAUAUUGUCACCCAUCAGACUAUUCUUGAUUUAGCCUUGUCUUUACAUAUAAUAAAGUAAUAUAUGUGUGAAAUUUGUUUUGAUUUAGAAGUGACCAUUAUCAUGCACCUGUCUCCAAAUAGGGGCAAGGGAAAAAAUGCAUGUCAUCUAUGUACUUAAAUAGCGAAUGGAGGACAUGUUUCCCGUGGUUAAUUUGUUUAUGCCAGCCAGGUAGGCUAUACUCCUGUUGUAAAGAGAAGCAAUGUGCUUAAUAUUAGGAAAGUUGAUAAAUAAAUAUAGUAGGCCUAGCCUAUAGAAAGCCAAUGGGAUGCUCCUCUUUUUAAUAGAGGCCACCACUCUGUUUUCUCACACAAUUGCAUAGCCUAUAGAAAUAAUGUGCAACAUGAGCUCAUGGGCUCUCAUUAAGUGUUUGAUUAGAUUUUUGAUUACAUUUGCAUUGAUGUCAGAGUGAGAGGGACA